Non-coding RNA from Monodelphis domestica (gray short-tailed opossum), 4516 nucleotides. NCBI's taxonomy places the organism in Eukaryota, Metazoa, Chordata, Mammalia, Didelphimorphia, Didelphidae. The record is from RefSeq and is a predicted model, not a curated record.
GCACUAUGAUUGGAUACGGCGUCAAGGGGUGUGACAGCCUCCAGACACGGCCGUUGGCGAGCACUCCAUUCUAUCCCUCCUCCCCUUCUCGCUCCCUCACUGAAGGGGCAGAGUCCUCUUCCCCGUAGCCAGUCCUGAUUGGCUGGCCGCACCCGUCCCGCGACGGCGAUUGCUCCGCGAGGUUUCUGACCCCUCUCCCUCCUCCUGGAGAGACUACGGCGGCUCCGAGGAGGGGGAGGGAGGGGAAGGCCGCUCCCGUCAGUCAGACGGCUGUGGGAAUCGCCGGGAGCGGAUGGCGGCUGCUAUAGUAGCCCCACCCGCCGUCGGGGGCGAGGAGACUGCGGCAGCAGCCCGGGUUCCGGGAUCUACGGGGUUGCCGGGGAGCCGUAGCGCCGAGCGGGCUCUAGAGGAGGCCGUAGCCACUGGGACACUGAACCUGUCGAACCGGCGUCUGAAGCAAUUCCCCAGGGGCACGGCCAGUGGCUACGACCUGUCGGAUAUCACCCAAGCUGACCUAUCCAGGAACCGGUUCCCUGAGGUGCCAGAGGCAGCAUGCCAGCUGAUGUCCCUAGAGGGUCUGAGCCUCUAUCACAACUGUCUUCGGUGCCUGAACCCAGCGCUGGGGAACCUCACAGCCCUUACUUACCUCAACCUAAGCCGGAACCAACUGUUGUCGCUGCCCCCCUAUAUCUGCCAGCUGCCCCUUCGUGUGCUCAUUGUCAGCAACAACAAACUGGGAGCUCUGCCUCCUGACAUUGGGGCCUUGGGAAGCCUAAGACAGCUUGAUGUAAGCAGCAAUGAGCUUCAGUCCCUUCCCCUCCAGUUGGGUAACCUCCACUCCUUGAGGGACCUUAAUGUUCGGAGAAACCAGCUCAGCACUCUGCCUGAUGAACUGGGAGACCUUCCUCUUGUUCGUUUGGACUUCUCCUGUAAUCAUGUGUCUCGAAUCCCAAGCUCUUUCCGCCGCCUCAGGCACCUCCAGGUCAUUCUGCUAGAUAGCAACCCCCUUCAGAGCCCUCCUGCACAGAUCUGCCUGAAGGGAAAGCUUCAUAUCUUCAAGUAUCUUUCUUCAGAGGCUGGAGAACGGGGAGUCUCUGGAUUUGGGGACCUGCCACCCUCUCACCCAUCAGGUUUCAGUCCCUGCCCUGUGGAGGAUUUGUUCCCUGGUCGCCGGUAUGAUGGUGGGCUGGACUCUGGUUUCCACAGUGUUGACAGUGGAAGUAAGAGGUGGUCUGGAAAUGAGCUGACAGAUGAAUUUUCGGAACUAUCUUUCCGUAUCUCAGAAUUGACCCAAGAACCUCGGGGGCCUAGGGAACAGAGAGAGGAUCGAAAUGGUGAUGGGGACCCUGAACAAAUUGACUUCAUAGACAGCAGUGUACCUGGGGAGGAAGAGGACAGAGAUGCUGUUGAGGAGCAGCAGCCAGAAGAGCACAAGACCUCAGAAAUAGUAGAAAGACCCCCUAGUGCCAGGUUGGUGGAGCCAGCAGGGGAAGAACGUCGUCGGCCAGACACUCUGCAGCUGUGGCAGGAUCGAGAGAGGAGGCAACAGCAAAAGGAGAGUUUCCUGAAACUGGCAAACAAGGGUAGUGGGGGAAGUGCUACCAACAUAGCCUCCAACAACAAUUCCUCCAAGCGAAGUGGUCCCCAGCCUGGAGUUCCUGUACCCAGCUCUACUUCCCCAGACCUCCACAUAGUCUGUCCAGCCACAGGCCCUUCUCCCCAGCCACUUGGCCCCACCCAAAGACCAAACAGUUUCCUGUUCCGUUCAUCUUCUCAGAGCAGCUCAGCUUCCUCUCCAGGCCCAUUUUCAUCAGAACCUGUUCUGAGACCACGACAGUCCCCCCAGACAAUUGAGAAUAAGGAAGAGUUAAUGGCUCAACUCCGACAGGUCCUCGAAUCUUGCCUACAGCAGCCCCUGCCUGAGGAUUUAAGUGAUACUCUGGCUAAUGGAGUUAUCCUAUGUCAGUUAGUCAAUCACCUCCGCCCACGAUCUGUGCCCUUCAUCCAUGUUCCUUCACCUGCUGUGCCAAAACUUAGUGCUCUCAAGGCUCGAAAGAAUGUGGAGAGUUUCUUAGAGGCCUGCCGAAAGAUGGGAGUCCCUGAGGAGUCCCUGUGCCAGCCCCACCACAUCUUAGAAGAGGAGGGAACCCCUGAAAAGGGCCUCCCCAACAUCAUCACUGCUGUCCAUGCCUUGCUGGAGCAGGCAGGGUCACGUGGGCAUCCUUAGGAGAGGGGAUGGGGAGAUACAAGACAUCCAGGAACCCAGUGGCUACCCUUCUCCCUGCACCAGCAAAAAUGGAUGGAUGUCUUUAGGUUACUGCCAUCCACAAAUUCAGUUUAAGGUGGGAUGGGGCAGAGACCUCCAGUCCAUAUUCCUGCCGCUGGACUCUUAGGUGGGUGGGAAGACCUUGGCCUUGGCUGGUACUGUUUCCAGACUCUUCCUGGUGUAGGGGGCAGUGUUUCCUACUGAGAUGCUGGGGCCAACGGAAGAGAUGGUUAAUGACUGGAUUCUGGGGGGAGAGGCAAGGGAAGAGGGCUGUGAUGGAAGCAAGAAGGUAUCUGGACUAAAUCUCUCCACAUCUCAAGCUGUGUCAGGUCCCCCAAUAAAGAAUAGCCAGGAGCCUCCUUGGUUCACUUGGUUAGACUGCCUGGGAAUGAAUACCUGCCUGUGAAACGUUUUUUAAUGCCUGGAGGGCGUCAGAGAGGAGGCUUCCAGUUCUGGCCGCUCUGGUGUAUCUUUUCCUCCGACUAUGUAAUUCCUUCACAUCUCUUAAUUUCGGUCUUUCUCCAUAAUUCCAUCUGCCAGCCUCCCUUUUUCUCGUCUUUUUCUCACCUCCCCUGCCCCAUCUGUGAUGUAUAACGAUUCCCCUGGGGGUUCCCAGAAGGUAAAGGGUCAAGCCCUUGGGCCUGACCUCCAACCUUUGGUCUUCCCGCCUACUUUGCGGCCCUCCAAGCGCCAUUUUCUCAGAUUUCCCCACCCAAAUGGGCGGGUUCCCGUUAGGGGCGUCACGCCCCCCUGCUGAAUUAGCACCUUUUUAGUACUUGCGUACCUGGGAUGCUGCGGUGGGUGGAGGAGGGACCUCCGGACCGUGUCCUUUCCUAGGUAAGAAGGGUCUGGGGGACCUCUGGACCCGGAAGGGACCUACCUCAUGGGAUUCAAGGCAAGCCAAGGAGGGAAGGGGAUUGUUGGCUCCAGGUCAUGGUCUUAGUUAAGUGUGGCAGAAGGGGAGCCAGAAGCAGGAUCUCUAGUCUGAGGGUUACAGUGGGAGCAGGGUGCCCAGAAUGCUGGAGGAAAGAAAGGUCGGGGGGACAUAAGAUGCCCAGGUAGAGGAAGAAUUAUUAAGCAGGACUUCCAUAUGACUGAAAUGGUGAAGAGGAGGUAGUGUGUGUCCGCUCCCCCAGCAUGAUCCCCUCCCUUCCCCUUGGGGAAGGAGAGGAAGGUCUGGAGAAAGACUCCCAGGAUGGACAAGAGGACAAUGGCUUUGGAGAAGAGAAUCCAGGGAAUGCCCCCCAACCAGACAGCCCCCAGCCUGGGUCCCCUGUGGCCUCUCAGCCAAAUGGCAGGCUUCACUUCUCCCAGCUUCCCACCCGGAGCCUCAAAGAGAAGAGUCAGCCAGCUCCUUGGGAGCCAGAUUAUAAGAAAGAAACAGUAUUUGAAAGGGCAGGAAGUUGUGGAUCUAGUAACUCAGUCUCCUACAGAACCAUCUGGCAUCCAUCUUUCUAUGCCCUGUAUGAUGCCCAGGGUCAUGACCCCCAAACACUAGUUCCAUCUGAAAUAGAAGGGAAUCAAGACUACUCCCAGAGGGAUGAAGAGGGGUGAGACUGCUAGAGGCAAUUAAACCAUUACCAUAGUCCUCUCUGAGAGUGUGGAGGCCCUGAAUUAAGGUUGUGGCUGUGAUUGGAUGGAAAGAGUCCAAUGUUUAGUUAAUCUGUGGAAUUAGCCUUCUGAUUGGAUUUGGUUGGAUGAAAGAAGAGUCAAGGAUGACUUUAAGGUUUUCCUGAUCUUGGCUCUGAAGAUUUCUUUUUCUCAGACCCUCUUUUGCCUUCCAUUGCUCGGAUUCCCCUUAAUCUGUCCCAACCUCCCCAACAGGUACUGAGGAGAUGUAGACGGCUUCUUACCCCACCUCCUAUAAUGUCAGUCUGGCCACAGCCUAUCUUGACCUGGCAGAGCGGUCCAGAGAUAACAGCCAUUACCAGCCUACUUGAGAUGAGCCAAGGGGACACUGAAUCAGCCCCCCCCACUUCAGAGGCCAGCUAGCCUAGGGUGGCUCUUUGCCCUGCCCUACUCCCUGCUAUACUCCCUAGAGGCACCCUUUACUCUGGGAGUUCAGUAGAGUAAAGAUACAUACACCCACCCCCCCAGGCUCAUCUGUUGCUCUAGUAGAGUACUGGGAGGGAACUGAAGGCUUCUUUCAGCUCCGGAUGCCACUCCCCAGGGCACCCGCAACCUUUCCUAUGUAUGUAUGUAUGUAUGUAUGUAUGGCUGUGUUGGGCUGAAUAAAGAGGGUAAUGUGUA